CCGAGUUUACAACUCCCAAACCCCAUGUGAACCAUACCGUACUGUUGCCUCGGCGGCUCAGCCGCUCCCGGUGCCAACUGCGGCCCGGACCCAGCCCCCGAGGACCACCUAAACCAUUGUGUACCGUAGUGUCACUCUCUGAGUGCGUAAAGCAUAAAUAAAUCA
This 165-nucleotide unclassified non-coding RNA is filed under the name soil metagenome. RNAcentral's name for it is "partial internal transcribed spacer 1". The record is from RNAcentral.